This 74-nucleotide transfer RNA is filed under the name Hoyosella rhizosphaerae. RNAcentral's name for it is "tRNA-Glu". It matches the Rfam family "tRNA". From Rfam's summary of the family: Transfer RNA (tRNA) molecules are approximately 80 nucleotides in length. Their secondary structure includes four short double-helical elements and three loops (D, anti-codon, and T loops). Further hydrogen bonds mediate the characteristic L-shaped molecular structure. tRNAs have two regions of fundamental functional importance: the anti-codon, which is responsible for specific mRNA codon recognition, and the 3' end, to which the tRNAs corresponding amino acid is attached (by aminoacyl-tRNA synthetases). tRNAs cope with the degeneracy of the genetic code in two manners: having more than one tRNA (with a specific anti-codon) for a particular amino acid; and 'wobble' base-pairing, i.e. permitting non-standard base-pairing at the 3rd anti-codon position. Lineage: Bacteria; Bacillati; Actinomycetota; Actinomycetes; Mycobacteriales; Hoyosellaceae. The record is from RNAcentral.
GGCCCCGUCGUCUAGAGGCCUAGGACGCCGCCCUCUCAAGGCGGUAGCGCGGGUUCGAAUCCCGUCGGGGCUAC